Coturnix japonica (Japanese quail) is the source of this 3620-nucleotide long non-coding RNA. The record is from Ensembl. Lineage: Eukaryota; Metazoa; Chordata; Aves; Galliformes; Phasianidae.
CACGUGCAUCUGAGGUCUUCCAGAAGUAAACAGGUUCUUUCCUUUGUUUCCAUGCUCACAGCUGUUGUAUCUGAGCAAAUCCUUGCUUGCAGGAGCUCAGAACAGUGCAACUUUUCUGUCACUGCAGUGCUUUACAUCAUAUUACAGGUACUGACUUCACCAUCGGCUAGCUGAGUUUGUUGCCUGAUUCUUUUUCCCUUUUCUGGUUCUUUCAGAAGGUUCUGAAAGAAAUGUUCUGCUUUGUGAAAGCGGUGUCUUUAUGAAAUGAUGGCAAGAAUAAAUGCCUUGAGUGGCAUUCUUUUCUAAAAGCUGUGAAACUCAUAAGUUGAACUAUGAAUACAGAACAGUUUAGGUGAAAGUACAUUUUUCCUAUCUGAUACUUUAUUUUUGCUGUUAGAAGAAGCUCUAGUAUACUGAAGAAUGUUUCCCAUACAGUAUGUACAAGGAACUAAGGAUGAAUUCAUGUUUAAAGCAUCAGAGUAAGAUGCAGGGUGAAAGAUUUGGCUGCUCAUCUCUCCAUAGACUUCCUCUGUGCCUCAGUUCUCUACUCUUGCAAAGAGGAAGUGGUACCCAUGGGGACAUAGAGUGGUAGGAAUCUUUUUCUGUAAGCAAAACAUCAAUGACUCACCUGGUGACUUCAAAAUGGUCAAGUUUUGAGUAUCUACUGGCAUGGGGAUUCUGCAGCCUCUCUGGACUGCAGACUCUCUGGUGCUCAGCAAUCCCCAUGAGAAGAAUCCUUUCCCCUCCUUCUUUCAAAAAGCAGGUGCUGCAGUAGUCUUGUCAUUUCCUUUGGAAUAUAUUGGGUGUAGAAGUGAUGCCAAAAGGAAGUCUGGGGAAAGAUCACCAUCCAAAAGUAUAAUAAAAGUAGUUAACCUGGCGCCAUCUGGGUGUGGAAGAAUCUGCUGAAAACCGUUUGUGGCAUCUAAAAGGGGGAGAACUUGGGCAUUCAUCUUGGAAAGAUAUUGUCCACUGUGGAUGGGAGUGCUUCUCUCAAGCACUUUGACCUAAAAACAACUGAACAAAGUAUAUGCUAACUCAUCCAUUUUUGCUGAGGCCUUAUAACUGCUGGUAAACGCUGUUCAGUGGGUUUGGCUAUUUCUUCUGCAAUGCUGACAGCACUUGGACUGUCUGCUCCUGCUCUUUCCUUAGGAUGUACAGAGCUGAACUUACUUUGACUUCCUAGUCACUCCCAGUAAAUGCAUUGCAUUGUGUCUUUGGGAGCUGAGUUUAACGGUCAUGUUUCCUCCAGUGCUCGUGUAUAUGUAUUUUCUUUUGGCUGAUACAGAAAUGCCAUUGCUGUAUUUUACUGGUAGUUAAUUUCUCAGUUUCUGGGAUGAAACUCAGUGCCCCAAGUGUCCUCAGACAUUGCAGGUUGCUACAGCUCUUACUAGCACUUAUGCUCCUAUGAGUUGAAGUGAUUCAGUCCCUCAUUUAACUUCAACUGGUUAUUUCCCACGUCUAAUUUCCAAAUGCUAUCACUGUGCCUUCUCUCAGGAACUUGCAUCUUGUUAUUCUUUGUCUUCAGGCACAGAAGGCUGCCUUCUACCUACUUGUCUUGCUUUGAUCUCUAAAAGUCUGAGAGCUUUUACAGCACAACCUACUUUUCCUCAUUGUUACUGUAACAGGUAUCACCUGUGCUGGUCUGAUGCCUCUUCUGAGUGUAGCUCUCACGUAUCCUUGUGUAUGUACUUCCAGUAGAUGCCUAUCCUACCGUAGCUUAAAGCAAAGGUGUGUAUGCUCACAAGGAUUUUAUGUGGUGGAGGAUGCUGUGCUAGAUGCACAGUUUGGUCAUGGGUGCAGCUGGGAUUGUGGCUCAUGGGCAGUUCAGCCUGAUGAAGGGUCGUGAUGGGCAUAAUGCAACUGUGACUUUUUAGUACUCUUAGAUGAUUGCUAACCAGGAGAUGAGGUUUUUAAAAGCACACACAUCUUAUCGUUUUCUCUGGCAAGGAACUCAUUGCAAAGAGGAAAAAAAAAAAACCUCAAAAAAAACCCUGUAAAAUGUCUCCCACUUCCCUCUGCCUAUUCCUGCCCCAUCAACUCCCCUAUCAUCUUUCUGUGGCUGGCAUGGGGCAACAUCUGUAGCCAGAUCAGUCCCUCUCUGUGCUGCCCAUUCUUUGUCACAGAUGAUCAGGUGAGAACACUUGAACAACUGUAAUAAGAGAAGGGCAGUGGUUGGGGAAUUCAUCCUGCACAAGAAAGUCAUUAGUUGUCAGUGUGCACACUUCCAGCUGAAAACAUCACAGCCAGGAGCUUUCACAGCCAAAGUGUGGGACUUUCAAAAGCGAGAGCUGAUAGUGCUUUCCCUGAGCAAGCAAUCUGGUUUUCAGAAAUCAUCACACUUCAGAAAGAUCAUUUUAAAGGCAUCUAGAAACAAAAAUUGUUUCUGAAAGUUUUAGCUCAAACUUCUGCUGUUAUACAAACGGCGUAACAAACUCUUAUGAACCUUGGAACUGAAAUUUUCUUGUAUCUCCAAGUCACGGAUUCACAUCCUGCAUGCUUUCUUCAUAUACCUCUGUUAAGUACUUUCAGCUGGACUUGAAGAAUAAGUAGAGCAGGACUUGAUCAUAGUUAUGCAUGUGCACAUUCCUAGCCACGAUCAAGAAUUACAUUGGCCAGUAUAUGCUAGUACUCUAUUGUGAGUUCUGCCUGGGGAGUCUGCUAACUGAGAUGCUUCUGUUUUUAGAAUACAGUGGGAGAAAGAUACAUUUUUACUGUAGCCAAGUUGGAGUAAUACACAUAGGAAUAUGAAACAAAGGGAACCUAGGAAAUUUUAGCUAAUGAACAAUAUGAACAAUGAGAUCUUUUUGUUCUCCUUUGUUUUCCUUAUUUUUUAAGUGUGAGAAAGAGGGAAAAGGAGAAGAUCAUAGUGUGACCCCAUUCCAUUUCUGGAACUCAUCCCUCUCAUAGUUCACAGGCUCUGUACACCGCAACAAGCAAUUCUGAGGCAGUGUGCUGUAAGUAAUUUAUUAUAAACGCUACCUUUAAAGUGCAUACUUUAAAUGUCUUAUACCUUUAUAAAAGCACUGAUUAUUCUUUUCCAUUUGCCUGCACUUCACAAUUAAAAUUGCAAUUGAAUUGAGAGGAAUACAUUUCUCUACUUAUUUUUACUUUCUUUCCCCCAUCUUUUUUUCUCUCUGCUUUUUUUUCCCCAUCUUCCUUCCAUCUUUUUAUUCUCCAGACUUUUGUCUUAUCUGCACUCCCAUUUAUGGAGGUAAGUCACAUCACUCUUAUACCAUCAGCUGAAUCCAUGCACAUAGAGUGAUAGCUCAGUGUUCAGACAAUGUAUGGUCACUUGAUAAAUGUUGACAUGUAAUCUACUGCCUGAAUCCUCCACAACACAUCGGUGUUAGACAUGCAGACAUAUAGGAUAUCUUAGAUUGUCCUUGAAGAUUAUUCCCCAGGAACUUCUAUGUGGCUUGCCUUGGUGCUUUCCACAGGAAGAACUCAGGGGAAAGGCUUCCCUUUGUGGUAACUUGCUCCUCUAGGUAACUUUCCUGAGAUAGUAGAGUAACUAAAAAUCAUUGCGCUCAGUACAAUAGCUUUUAACUGAGCUCCUGAGGGUUAAAAUCUCUAAAUGUGUGGAAAAUAAAUUGUUGGUAGAGCUGUACUGUGAAUUUUCA